This is a non-coding RNA of Pelobates cultripes (western spadefoot toad), 267 nucleotides long. NCBI's taxonomy places the organism in Eukaryota, Metazoa, Chordata, Amphibia, Anura, Pelobatidae. The record is from the annotation of a GenBank genome assembly.
GGAAGAUUUCCUGGAUAGGAGAAAUUAAUACGAUUUGAUCUCAUAUCUUACCAAAAUGGAAUUAUAUAUUCAGAAUGAUACCGGUUAAGGACCAUGUGGCAUGGUAAAAAAUGAUACAGGCAGCUUUUUCAAAGUUUGCUGGAGGAAGAAGCCAAAAAUAAAUUAAAAAAUACUGUCAAAGAAGACAUGAGUGGGAGGGCUAGCAAUCCCUAAUAUAAUAGAUCAGAAUGUCUGUAUGAUUUGACAUAUGCCAUUACCACUUAAAUG